UCUGCAGAAUUCGCCUUAGAGUUUGAUCCUGGCUCAGGAUGAACGGUGGCGGUAUGCUUUACACAUGCAAGUCGUACGAGAGUUUUUAACUCAAGUGGCGGACGGGUGAGUAACACGUAAGAAUUUGCCUUUAGGAGGGGGAUAACAACUGGAAACGGUUGCUAAUACCCCAUAUGCUUUCGAGUAAAAUGGAUUUUCCGCCUAAAGAGAAGCUUGCGGCUGAUUAGCUUGUUGGUGAGGUAAUGGCUCACCAAGGCGACGAUCAGUAUCUGGUUUGAGAGGACGAUCAGACACACUGGAACUGAGACACGGUCCAGACUCCUACGGGAGGCAGCAGUGGGGAAUUUUCCGCAAUGGGCGAAAGCCUGACGGAGCAAUACCGCGUGAGGGAUGACGGCCUAUGGGUUGUAAACCUCUUUUUUCAGGGAGGAAUCAAUGACGUGUACCUGAAGAAUAAGCAUCGGCUAACUCCGUGCCAGCAGCCGCGGUAAGACGGAGGAUGCAAGUGUUAUCCGGAAUCACUGGGCGUAAAGCGUCUGUAGGUGGUCAAAUAAGUCAACUGUUAAAUCUUGAGGCUCAACCUCAAAAUCGCAGUCGAAACUAUUCGACUAGAGUGUAGUAGGGGUAAAGGGAAUUUCCAGUGGAGCGGUGAAAUGCGUAGAGAUUGGAAAGAACACCGAUGGCGAAGGCACUUUACUGGGCUAUUACUAACACUGAGAGACGAAAGCUAGGGUAGCAAAUGGGAUUAGAUACCCCAGUAGUCCUAGCCGUAAACAAUGGAUACUAGAUGUUGAACAGAUCGACCUGUGCAGUAUCAAAGCUAACGCGUUAAGUAUCCCGCCUGGGAAGUAUGCUCGCAAGAGUGAAACUCAAAUGAAUUGACGGGGAAGGGC
RNAcentral lists this ribosomal RNA (893 nucleotides) under uncultured bacterium. RNAcentral describes it as "bacterial SSU rRNA". It matches the Rfam family "Bacterial small subunit ribosomal RNA", at positions 1 to 924 of the family's 1533-position model. The record is from RNAcentral.